AGAGUGAGCGCUGGCGGCAGGCCUAACACAUGCAAGUCGAACGGCAGCACAGCAGUAGCAAUACUGUGGGUGGCGAGUGGCGGACGGGUGAGGAAUACAUCGGAAUCUACCUUGUCGUGGGGGAUAACCUCGGGAAACCGGGACUAAUACCGCAUACGAACUAUGGUUGAAAGCGGCGGACCGCAAGGCGUCGCGCGAUUGGAUGAGCCGAUGUCCGAUUAGCUAGUUGCGGGGUAAAGCCCACCAAGGCGACGAUCGGUAGCUGGUCUGAGAGGAUGAUCAGCCACACUGGAACUGAGACACGGUCCAGACUCCUACGGGAGGCAGCAGUGGGGAAUAUUGGACAAUGGGGGGCAACCCGUGAUCCAGCCAUGCCGCGUGUGUGAAGAAGGCCUUGGUGUAAGCACUUUGUUGGGAAGAAAGCACUGGUUAAUACCUUGGUGUCAUGACGGUACCCAAAGAAUAAGCACCGACUAACUCGUAG
Molecule: ribosomal RNA, 484 nt
Filed under: uncultured soil bacterium
Lineage: Bacteria
Description: bacterial SSU rRNA
Rfam family: Bacterial small subunit ribosomal RNA
Source: RNAcentral